GGAAUUGAGUUAUAUGGUGGUUGU
This 24-nucleotide non-coding RNA is filed under the name Arabidopsis thaliana (thale cress). The record is from RNAcentral. Lineage: Eukaryota; Viridiplantae; Streptophyta; Magnoliopsida; Brassicales; Brassicaceae.